ACGAACGCUGGCGGCGUGCUUAACACAUGCAAGUCGAACGGUGAAGCCCUUCGGGGUGGAUCAGUGGCGAACGGGUGAGUAACACGUGGGCAAUCUGCCCUGCACUCUGGGACAAGCCCUGGAAACGGGGUCUAAUACCGGAUAACACCUUCUCCCGCAUGGGGGUGGGUUAAAAGCUCCGGCGGUGCAGGAUGAGCCCGCGGCCUAUCAGCUUGUUGGUGGGGUAAUGGCCUACCAAGGCGACGACGGGUAGCCG
This 256-nucleotide ribosomal RNA is filed under the name Kitasatospora sp. ISOM244_OTU116. Its description in RNAcentral is "partial 16S ribosomal RNA". It matches the Rfam family "Bacterial small subunit ribosomal RNA", at positions 29 to 289 of the family's 1533-position model. Lineage: Bacteria; Bacillati; Actinomycetota; Actinomycetes; Kitasatosporales; Streptomycetaceae. The record is from RNAcentral. RNAcentral also lists the same sequence under 11 other names.